RNAcentral lists this long non-coding RNA (987 nucleotides) under Triticum aestivum (bread wheat). RNAcentral's name for it is "long non-coding RNA (TAES_LNC012369)". Lineage: Eukaryota; Viridiplantae; Streptophyta; Magnoliopsida; Poales; Poaceae. The record is from RNAcentral.
UGACUCGAUCGCUUACUUCCCAUCGGAGACUCUCGUCUCUCGUUUCUCCUGUUCCGCCGUUCCGAUCUCCCAUCUCUCGAUCUCCAGCGGCAAGCGGAAACUACAGGCAAUGACAGUCCAAAUUCAAGGUAUCACAUCGCUACAUCUUUCUCCCUCAAUCCUAGUAGUAUCCUAGUACGCUAAUAUCAUUUGCCCUAAUUAUUUUUCUAAUUGCUUUCCCCACUCAACUUUGACCUAUCUAGGCUAUAGAAUUGUAUUUCUCAAAAGGAGAUAAAUCAUCAGAUUGAGAUAAUGAGGCUAGCAGUUCAAGCCACCCGAUGUAGGCAAAAUGCAAGCAGUUUCCCAAAGCCUUCUAUUCAAAGAGAAUUGAUUUAGAUGAUCCGCUUUUAGUCCAGCUGAUCGGAAGAGAAUAUUUGGAGUGCAAAACGAAAAUCAUAAGAAGCAACAACAAAUCAAGAACCGUAUAUGCCUCCACCUGUUUUUGGCUAUGCAUAUAGGGUUAUUCGAGAUGCCCCACAAAGAUUUAUUUUAUGUAGAACAUCUAUCCUUUAGUCCAUCAACUUUAAAGCUAGUAAGUUACCACAACAGUAAUGACGAGAUGCUUUUUCUGCUACGAAUGUUCUCAACAAAAUGUUGCGCAAUAAAUUAGGUGAUCAGUGUUCAUGAUUGGUUGCUUAAUUUGCUUUGUGGAGAAAUAUAUGUUUUAUAUCAUCAGUAUGAUUAUGUAUCUGAUCAUUUUAAGAUGAAUAACUCAAAAAAGGGGGACUAUGAAACGUGAUUGUCUUUGUGUGCUUCUUUCAUUUGAUAUGACUUAUUUUAAAUUUGCCAAACUAAUUUUUCAUUCGUUCCAGUGAUUUCAGGAGGAUGAGAACUUGCAGCUGAAGCUAUGAAGUUUAUUUUCGGCAUCACUCUACUUACAAUAUGUAAAGUGGUUUCUUAAUUUUGUCCAACUGGUAUGUCUUGCACUCUUCUAGUUUUAGUGUAACA